RNAcentral lists this RNase P RNA (403 nucleotides) under Breoghania corrubedonensis. Its description in RNAcentral is "alpha proteobacterium UBF-P1 Bacterial RNase P class A". It matches the Rfam family "Bacterial RNase P class A". From Rfam's summary of the family: Ribonuclease P (RNase P) is a ubiquitous endoribonuclease, found in archaea, bacteria and eukarya as well as chloroplasts and mitochondria. The record is from Rfam by way of RNAcentral. Lineage: Bacteria; Pseudomonadati; Pseudomonadota; Alphaproteobacteria; Hyphomicrobiales; Stappiaceae.
CCAGUCGGCUGGACGACCGCUCCCGCAAGCGCUGAAAGGCGGCGGGGGAGGAAAGUCCGGGCUCCAUGGAAACACGGUGCCGGGUAACGCCCGGCGAGGGCGACCUCAGGGAAAGUGCCGCAGAAAGCAAACCGCCUGCUCAAAACCCGCAAGGGGGCGCGCAGGUAAGGGUGAAAGGGUGGGGUAAGAGCCCACCGCGGUCCCGGCAACGGGGCCGGCAUGGUAAACCCCACCGGGAGCAAGACCGAAUAGGGACGGCGCGGGAGGCAACUCCCAGGCGUGUUUUCACGUUGACCGUCCGGGUAGGUCGCGCGAGGCGUCCGGUAACGGACGUCCCAGAUGAAUGGUCGUCGCGGCGGGUUCGCCCGCCGAACAGAACCCGGCUUACAGGCCGACUGGCACC